Molecule: ribosomal RNA, 379 nt
Filed under: uncultured bacterium
Lineage: Bacteria
Description: bacterial SSU rRNA
Rfam family: Bacterial small subunit ribosomal RNA
Source: RNAcentral
AAUGAACGCUGGCGGCGCGCCUAAUACAUGCAAGUCGAGCGAGAAGACGUAGCAAUACGUUUGUAAAGCGGCGAACGGGUGAGGAAUACAUGGGUAACCUACCCUCGAGUGGGGAAUAACUAGCCGAAAGGUUAGCUAAUACCGCGUACGCUCCUUGGACUUCGGUUCAGGGAGGAAAGCGAUACCGUGGGUAUCGCGCUCUUGGUUGGGCUCAUGUCCUAUCAGCUUGUUGGUGAGGUAACGGCUCACCAAGGCUUCGACGGGUAGCUGGUCUGAGAGGACGAUCAGCCACACUGGCACUGCGACACGGGCCAGACUCCUACGGGAGGCAGCAGUAAGGAAUAUUGCGCAAUGGGCGAAAGCCUGACGCAGCGACGCC